AGUGAAUAGAUACCCUGGUAGUCCACGCCGUAAACGAUGAUGGCUGGAUGUUGGCGAUACACCGUCAGCGUCCGAGGGAAACCAUUAAGCCAUCCACCUGGGGAGUACGGCCGCAAGGCUGAAACUCAAAGGAAUUGACGGGGGCCGCACAAGCGGAGGAACAUGUGGUUUAAUUCGAUGAUACGCGAGGAACCGUUACCCGGGUCGUAGAACGCACUUGGAAUGCGUGGGAAACUGCGCAGCCCGUUCGGGGUCCGGGGUGCGAGGUGCUGCAUGGUUGUCGUCAGCUCGUGCCGUGAGGUGUCGGGUUAAGUCCCAUAACGAGCGCAACCCCUAUCGCUAGUUGCCAGCGGGUCAAGCCGGGGACGUCUAGCGAAACUGCCAGCGUAAGCUGUGAGGAAGGUGGGGUAUGACGUCAAAUCAGCACGGCCCUUACGUCCGGGGUCUACACACGUGUUACAAUGGCCGGUACAGAGGGCAGCCACCCCGCGAGGGGUC
Molecule: ribosomal RNA, 498 nt
Filed under: uncultured bacterium
Lineage: Bacteria
Description: bacterial SSU rRNA
Rfam family: Bacterial small subunit ribosomal RNA
Source: RNAcentral